GCCAACCUUGAAAUACCACCCUUUAAUGUUUGAUGUUCUAACGUUGGCCCCUGACCGGGGUUGCGGACAGUGUCUGGUGGGUAGUUUGACUGGGGCGGUCUCCUCCCAAAGCGUAACGGAGGAGCACGAAGGUUAGCUAAUCCUGGUCGGACAUCAGGAGGUUAGUGCAAUGGCAUAAGCUAGCUUGACUGCGAGCGUGACGGCGCGAGCAGGUGCGAAAGCAGGUCAUAGUGAUCCGGUGGUUCUGAAUGGAAGGGCCAUCGCUCAACGGAUAAAAGGUACUCCGGGGAUAACAGGCUGAUACCGCCCAAGAGUUCAUAUCGACGGCGGUGUUUGGCACCUCGAU
RNAcentral lists this ribosomal RNA (346 nucleotides) under Klebsiella pneumoniae. RNAcentral's name for it is "partial 23S ribosomal RNA". It matches the Rfam family "Bacterial large subunit ribosomal RNA", at positions 2185 to 2530 of the family's 2925-position model. The record is from RNAcentral. Lineage: Bacteria; Pseudomonadati; Pseudomonadota; Gammaproteobacteria; Enterobacterales; Enterobacteriaceae.